GACGAACGCUGGCGGCGUGCUUAACACAUGUAAGUCGAACGAUGAAGCCCAGCUUGCUGGGUGGAUUAGUGGCGAACGGGUGAGUAACACGUGGGCAACCUGCCCCAAACUCUGGGAUAACUCCUCGAAAGAGGUGCUAAUACCGGAUACGAACUAGGUAGACAUCUGCACUAGUUGGAAAGUUUUUCGGUUUGGGAUGGGCCCGCGGCCUAUCAGCUUGUUGGUGAGGUAACGGCUCACCAAGGCUACGACGGGUAACCGGCCUGAGAGGGCGACCGGUCACACUGGGACUGAGACACGGCCCAGACUCCUACGGGAGGCAGCAGUGGGGAAUAUUGCGCAAUGGGCGAAAGCCUGACGCAGCGACGCCGCGUGAGGGAUGGAGGUCUUCGGAUCGUAAACCUCUUUCAGUAGGGACGAAGCGAAAGUGACGGUACCUAAAGAAGAAGCACCGGCUAACUACGUGCCAGCCGCCGCAGUAA
This 482-nucleotide ribosomal RNA is filed under the name uncultured bacterium. Its description in RNAcentral is "partial 16S ribosomal RNA". It matches the Rfam family "Bacterial small subunit ribosomal RNA", at positions 28 to 523 of the family's 1533-position model. The record is from RNAcentral.